Molecule: ribosomal RNA, 253 nt
Filed under: uncultured bacterium
Lineage: Bacteria
Description: partial 16S ribosomal RNA
Rfam family: Bacterial small subunit ribosomal RNA
Source: RNAcentral
UACAGGGGGUGCAAACGUUGCUCGGAAUCACUGGGCGUAAAGCGCACGUAGGCGGAUUUCUAAGUCAGGGGUGAAAUCCUGGAGCUCAACUCCAGAACUGCCUUUGAUACUGGGAAUCUCGAGUCCGGGAGAGGUGAGUGGAACUGCGAGUGUAGAGGUGAAAUUCGUAGAUAUUCGCAAGAACACCAGUGGCGAAGGCGGCUCACUGGCCCGGUACUGACGCUGAGGUGCGAAAGCGUGGGGAGCGAACAGG